This 300-nucleotide unclassified non-coding RNA is filed under the name uncultured Basidiomycota. Its description in RNAcentral is "sequence contains ITS1". The stretch from base 1 to 105 matches the Rfam family "5.8S ribosomal RNA", at positions 50 to 154 of the family's 154-position model. The record is from RNAcentral. Lineage: Eukaryota; Fungi; Basidiomycota.
GAAAUGCGAUAAGUAAUGUGAAUUGCAGAAUUCAGUGAAUCAUCGAAUCUUUGAACGCAACUUGCGCCCUCUGGUAUUCCGGAGGGCAUGCCCGUUUGAGUGUCAUGUGGAAUCAACCCCCCGGGUUUCCGGGGAGGUCGGACAUGGGUGUUGCCGUCCCGGCUCGCCUCAAACGUCUAAGUGGGGACCGGCCCAGUCGGGAGUAAUAAGUUUCUCUCCUCGGGUGCCGUGUGAACCGCUCAUAACCACCAAUCUUUUGACUCUGACCUCAAAUCGGGUAGGGCUACCCGCUGAACUUAA